AUACGUAGGGUGCAAGCGUUAAUCGGAAUUACUGGGCGUAAAGCGUGCGCAGGCGGUUUUGUAAGACAGUGGUGAAAUCCCCGGGCUCAACCUGGGGACUGCCAUUGUGACUGCAAGGCUGGAGUGCGGCAGAGGGGGGUGGAAAUUCGCGGGUAGCAGGGAAAUGCGUAGAUAUGCGGAGGAACACCGAUGGCGAAGGCAAUCCCCUGGGCCUGCACUGACGCUCAUGCACGAAAGCGUGGGGAGCAAACAGGAUUAGAUACCCUGGUAGUCCACGCCCUAAACGAUGUCAACUGGUUGUUGGGGAUUUAUUUUCUCAGUAACGAAGCUAACGCGUGAAGUUGACCGCCUGGGGAGUACGGCCGCAAGGUUAAAACUCAAAUGAAUUGACGGGG
Molecule: ribosomal RNA, 395 nt
Filed under: uncultured bacterium
Lineage: Bacteria
Description: partial 16S ribosomal RNA
Rfam family: Bacterial small subunit ribosomal RNA
Source: RNAcentral